GGAUGAUGGAGCUGGACAUAUCCAGCUCAGUUAUCUGCAGAGAGCUGAACAAAGGAAAACACUAUUUCUUCUACAAAGGAGCGAGGGCAGCGCAGCCUGCGGACUCCAGUCUUCAGAACCUGCUGUAGAGCCGGACCCAUUCACUGACAGAAUCCAGUGAUCAGACACUCACACUAAGCGGUGCCAGCGCUUGCAGACCCUGGACAUCCUGAGGAGAUCGUGCAGAGGGAGGUAGAAGA
This is a long non-coding RNA of Scomber scombrus (Atlantic mackerel), 239 nucleotides long. RefSeq lists it as uncharacterized. The record is from RefSeq and is a predicted model, not a curated record. NCBI's taxonomy places the organism in Eukaryota, Metazoa, Chordata, Actinopteri, Scombriformes, Scombridae. The transcript is spliced from 3 exons.